UUCACAGGUGCUGCAUGGCUGUCGUCAGCUCGUGUCGUGAGAUGUCCGGUUAAGUCCGGUAACGAGCGCAACCCUCGCUGUGUGUUAUAUGUGUCACACGGGACUGCCGGUAUCAAGCCGGAGGAAGGUGGGAUGACGUCAAGUCAGCAUGGCCUUUAUGUCUGGGGCUACACACACGCUACAAUGGCCAGUACAAUAGGUUGCAAGACCGCGAGGUGGAACCAAUCCUUAAAGCUGGUCUCAGUUCGGAUUGCAGGCUGCAACUCGCCUGCAUGAAGUCGGAGUUGCUAGUAACCGCGCGUCAGCCAUAGUGCGGUCGAAUACGUUCCCGGGCCUU
RNAcentral lists this ribosomal RNA (337 nucleotides) under uncultured Anaerolineaceae bacterium. RNAcentral's name for it is "bacterial SSU rRNA". It matches the Rfam family "Bacterial small subunit ribosomal RNA", at positions 1031 to 1382 of the family's 1533-position model. Lineage: Bacteria; Bacillati; Chloroflexota; Anaerolineae; Anaerolineales; Anaerolineaceae. The record is from RNAcentral.